RNAcentral lists this ribosomal RNA (478 nucleotides) under uncultured bacterium. Its description in RNAcentral is "partial 16S ribosomal RNA". It matches the Rfam family "Bacterial small subunit ribosomal RNA", at positions 28 to 507 of the family's 1533-position model. The record is from RNAcentral.
GAUGAACGCUGGCGGCGUGCCUAACACAUGCAAGUCGAACGGAGUCCAGCCUCUGAGACCUUCGGGUCAAAGAGGGGAAGACUGAGUGGCGGACGGGUGAGCAACACGUGGGCAACCUGGCUCAUAGAGGGGGAUAACAGAGAGAAAUUUCUGCUAAUACCGCAUAAGCACACACUGCCGCAUGGCAGAGUGUGAAAAGAGAAUCGCUAUGGGAUGGACCCGCGUCUGAUUAGCCAGUUGGCAGGGUAAGAGCCUACCAAAGCGACGAUCAGUAGCCGAUUUGAGAGGAUGAACGGCCACGUUGGGACUGAGACACGGCCCGCACUCCUACGGGAGGCAGCAGUGGGGGAUAUUGCACAGUGGAGGGAACCCUGAUGCAGCGACGCCGCGUGAGUGAAGAAGUAUUUCGGUAUGUAAAGCUCUAUCAGCAGGGAAGAUAAUGACAGUACCUGAAGAAGAAGCCCCGGCUAACUACGUG